This 232-nucleotide ribosomal RNA is filed under the name uncultured bacterium. RNAcentral's name for it is "partial 16S ribosomal RNA". The stretch from base 1 to 207 matches the Rfam family "Bacterial small subunit ribosomal RNA", at positions 118 to 309 of the family's 1533-position model. The record is from RNAcentral.
UAGGUAACCUGCCUCUAAGAUUGGGAUAACUUGUCGAAAGACGAGCUAAUACCAAAUAAGACCACGGUCUCCUCGGGGACAGAGGUCAAAGGUAGCCUCUAUUUAUAAGCUAUCGCUGAGAGAUGGGCCUGCGUACCAUUAGCUUGUUGGUGAGGUAACGGCUCACCAAGGCAAAGAUGGUUAGCUGGUCUGAGAGGAUGAUCAGCCCACGCUAGGAACUGACGANACCGGU